UAUUACGGCCGUCUCCUCCGCGGCCGUCGUCGGGAGGGUUAAUGGAGCCGAAAGGAGAUUAAGCCCGUGGGAGAAACGCGGCUUUUGUUCGCCGAUGGACUGACUUACCUUCCUCGGUCAAGUGAGCGCCACCCAUUUUCGUGCCGCCGUCUGGAAGAAAAAAAGAGAACGAACGGGCUCUAGAAAUGUGGAUGUAAUUGAGGGCCUAAGUGGGUGAGCUACGAUCAGAACAUAAAAACUUGCAGAAUGAAUUUCUUUUUCAUAAAAAAAUGUGGUAAAAAAGGGCACCUCGACUUUUUAAAUCUGAUCUCGAGACGAAUUGAACGACCAGCAGCACCAUAACCUUAAACUUCGAAGCGACGCUGGUGAAACAAUUUUUGGCCCACGGUUCGCCGGUUCGCCAGACCAUCGUGCGCCGUUCGCCGCCGUCUCUCGGUCACCGUGAUCCUUUUUCGCGCGUUAUUAAUUUUCCUCGGCGACCAGCAGCGACGGCAACGGCGACGAUUUUGUUUCGCAAUUGCGAUCGCGGGAACGCGAGAAGGAAGGAAGUUGUACGACGCGCGGUGGAUACGCUCGAAGCAAAUUGAAUAUCACGGCGUGCAAUUCAUUUCUUCUCCGAGGAACGAGAGAUUGAUCCACAAUGGGGUUUAAGACGGUCAAAUGAAAUAUUCCCGACAGCGAACGCGUUAAGACGUAAUCGUAUUUCUUUGAGCGCGACAGGAAAUAAGAUUACCCGGGCUUUCAUUGCCGGGGCUCCUGCAGUUGAUAUUGUCCGGGGCUUCCGGGCAUAACUGGAGCGACAAUUAUCUCUGCCGAGAAAGCCAGCUGUAUUUACGGUCAAUCGACAGGCGCGGGAAAUAUAGUAGCGCGCAAAAAAAGG
Megalopta genalis is the source of this 880-nucleotide long non-coding RNA. RefSeq lists it as uncharacterized. NCBI's taxonomy places the organism in Eukaryota, Metazoa, Arthropoda, Insecta, Hymenoptera, Halictidae. The record is from RefSeq and is a predicted model, not a curated record.